Molecule: non-coding RNA, 503 nt
Organism: Dermacentor albipictus
Lineage: Eukaryota; Metazoa; Arthropoda; Arachnida; Ixodida; Ixodidae
Source: RefSeq, a predicted model, not a curated record
UUUCCCUCUGUUUGGCGGCGCGGUCGGUGUGCGGCGCUUCAGUGGAGUGAAAUGUCGGCGCGCGUACCAUAUUCGCGGCGCGCGUUUUGUUUCGCUGGUGAAUGUGCGGAAUGCAACGAUGAGCGAGCCUCCCUCCCAUGGCUACCUGAAGUCAGACGAUAAGCUUUUUAAGAGGUCCUUGGCUGCCGUCAACGAGAGGUAUGCUGUGCGGACGUCAGGAGACCUGAACAAGCCGUCUAAAUCCAAUGUCGUCUUCUCCACAAUCCACUGCGGAUGUCAAAUCUCUCUGGGGAAUGUGCCAUUUCGAGUUGUGAAGGAAACAGUCAGUCUGCAAGUUCGGAAUGGAAUACUACAACAAGACUCAGGGAGAAAAAGACCAGGAUUCAAGCACCACUGACUGGCCGAAGGAGGUGUACGAGAAAAAGUGAAUGAACCUCCAAGGCGCAGAAAAGAGGGUUCGUGAGACUUUUCCCCUUUCCGUAGAACGGCUAUGUAGCACGCAC